Long non-coding RNA from Vombatus ursinus (common wombat), 530 nucleotides. RefSeq lists it as uncharacterized. The record is from RefSeq and is a predicted model, not a curated record. NCBI's taxonomy places the organism in Eukaryota, Metazoa, Chordata, Mammalia, Diprotodontia, Vombatidae. The transcript has 2 exons.
ACUCACCUCACAGAGAACUAUUCCAAAGGAGAAGACAUCCACAGUCUCAUCAUAGCUCUUUCCUAGAGAACAUGAAAGAGGAGGGAGCCCCUUCUAGAGUCUGUACUUGAGGGUAAGCCAACAGACCUGGCCUGCCUGGCCCCCACCACCAGACACUCUGACGAGCUUGCAGAUUGACACCAAGACACCCUUUCCAGAGAUGACAUCAGAAAGGGCGGCUGCUUCUUUUCCCCUCUGCACCCUGACGCUGUCUCCACAUUGCGGCUCAUCGCCCCGACCCAAUGAAGGAGACAACAGGCCGGCAGAGAGAGCCCUGGCAUUACAGAAGCGAAGGAUUUCAGUAUAGGGAGGGAGGCCUCCCACCAUCUUACAGAAAAAAACCAGGCCUCGAGCAGGGCAGAGAGCUGGGAGCAGCAGAGCCUGGGUCCCCAACUCAUCAUCCUGGACUUGUGGAAGCCUAGGCAGAGACUGAACGAACCUCUCCGGUCUCCACUUUCUCAUUUGUAAAAUAAAAGCACUUGACAAGAUCA